GUCUAAGGCCAUGCCACCCUGAACAAGCCCAGUGUCUGAUCUCGGAAGCUAAACAAAGUCGGGCCUGGUUAGUACUUGGAUGGGAGACCACCUAGGAAGACCAGGUGCUGUAGGCA
RNAcentral lists this ribosomal RNA (116 nucleotides) under Pteropus alecto (black flying fox). Lineage: Eukaryota; Metazoa; Chordata; Mammalia; Chiroptera; Pteropodidae. The record is from RNAcentral.